UGCGUAGGUGGUUUCUUAAGUCAGAGGUGAAAGGCCACGGCUCAACCGUAGUAAGCCUUUGAAACUGGGAAACUUGAGUGCAGGAGAGGAGAGUGGAAUUCCUAGUGUAGCGGUGAAAUGCGUAGAUAUUAGGAGGAACACCAGUUGCGAAGGCGGCUCUCUGGACUGUAACUGACACUGAGGCACGAAAGCGUGGGGAGCAAACA
RNAcentral lists this ribosomal RNA (206 nucleotides) under uncultured bacterium. RNAcentral's name for it is "partial 16S ribosomal RNA". It matches the Rfam family "Bacterial small subunit ribosomal RNA", at positions 568 to 774 of the family's 1533-position model. The record is from RNAcentral.